CCUACGGGAGGCAGCAGUAGGGAAUCUUCCACAAUGGGCGAAAGCCUGAUGGAGCAACGCCGCGUGAGUGAAGAAGUAUUUCGGUAUGUAAAGCUCUAUCAGCAGGGAAGAAAAUGACGGUACCUGAUUAAGAAGCCCCGGCUAACUACGUGCCAGCAGCCGCGGUACUACGUAGGGGGCAAGCGUUAUCCGGAUUUACUGGGUGUAAAGGGAGCGUAGACGGCAGCACAAGUCUGGAGUGAAAUGCCGGGGCUUAACCCCGGAACUGCUUUUGAAACUGUGCAGCUAGAGUGCAGGAGAGGGAAGUGGAAUUCCUGGGGGAGCGGGGAAAUGCGUAGAUAUUAGGAAGAACACCAGUGGCGAAGGCGGCUUACUGGAC
RNAcentral lists this ribosomal RNA (379 nucleotides) under uncultured bacterium. RNAcentral describes it as "partial 16S ribosomal RNA". It matches the Rfam family "Bacterial small subunit ribosomal RNA", at positions 338 to 734 of the family's 1533-position model. The record is from RNAcentral.